Non-coding RNA from Brassica napus (rape), 119 nucleotides. NCBI's taxonomy places the organism in Eukaryota, Viridiplantae, Streptophyta, Magnoliopsida, Brassicales, Brassicaceae. The record is from Rfam.
GGGCGCGAACAUACUAGUACUAAUGCACCAUAUUUCAUCAAAAUUUCUUAGUUAAAUGUGUUUGGACGAAAAUAAUACUAAGAUGAAUGACCUUCCCAAAAAUCUUCUUGUUACAUCCU